GAGGAAUAUUGGUCAAUGGACGCAAGUCUGAACCAGCCAUGCCGCGUGAAGGAUGAAGGCCUUCUGGGUUGUAAACUUCUUUUAUUGGGGAAGAAAAUUACGGUUUCUACUGUAACCGACGGUACCCAAGGAAUAAGCACCGGCUAACUCCGUGCCAGCAGCCGCGGUAAUACGGAGGGUGCAAGCGUUAUCCGGAUUCACUGGGUUUAAAGGGUGUGUAGGCGGGCUGUUAAGUCAGUGGUGAAAUCUCCGGGCUCAACCCGGAAACUGCCAUUGAUACUAUCAGUCUUGAAUAUCGUUGAGGUUGGCGGAAUAUAUCAUGUAGCGGUGAAAUGCUUAGAUAUGAUAUAGAACACCGAUUGCGAAGGCAGCUAACUAAGCGAUGAUUGACGCUGAGGCACGAAAGCGUGGGGAUCAAAC
Molecule: ribosomal RNA, 420 nt
Filed under: uncultured bacterium
Lineage: Bacteria
Description: bacterial SSU rRNA
Rfam family: Bacterial small subunit ribosomal RNA
Source: RNAcentral